This 694-nucleotide ribosomal RNA is filed under the name Escherichia coli. RNAcentral describes it as "bacterial SSU rRNA". It matches the Rfam family "Bacterial small subunit ribosomal RNA", at positions 826 to 1520 of the family's 1533-position model. The record is from RNAcentral. RNAcentral also lists the same sequence under 1 other name. Lineage: Bacteria; Pseudomonadati; Pseudomonadota; Gammaproteobacteria; Enterobacterales; Enterobacteriaceae.
GUGCCCUUGAGGCGUGGCUUCCGGAGCUAACGCGUUAAGUCGACCGCCUGGGGAGUACGGCCGCAAGGUUAAAACUCAAAUGAAUUGACGGGGGCCCGCACAAGCGGUGGAGCAUGUGGUUUAAUUCGAUGCAACGCGAAGAACCUUACCUGGUCUUGACAUCCACAGAACUUUCCAGAGAUGGAUUGGUGCCUUCGGGAACUGUGAGACAGGUGCUGCAUGGCUGUCGUCAGCUCGUGUUGUGAAAUGUUGGGUUAAGUCCCGCAACGAGCGCAACCCUUAUCCUUUGUUGCCAGCGGUCCGGCCGGGAACUCAAAGGAGACUGCCAGUGAUAAACUGGAGGAAGGUGGGGAUGACGUCAAGUCAUCAUGGCCCUUACGACCAGGGCUACACACGUGCUACAAUGGCGCAUACAAAGAGAAGCGACCUCGCGAGAGCAAGCGGACCUCAUAAAGUGCGUCGUAGUCCGGAUUGGAGUCUGCAACUCGACUCCAUGAAGUCGGAAUCGCUAGUAAUCGUGGAUCAGAAUGCCACGGUGAAUACGUUCCCGGGCCUUGUACACACCGCCCGUCACACCAUGGGAGUGGGUUGCAAAAGAAGUAGGUAGCUUAACCUUCGGGAGGGCGCUUACCACUUUGUGAUUCAUGACUGGGGUGAAGUCGUAACAAGGUAACCGUAGGGGAACCUGCGGUUG